Long non-coding RNA from Bombus impatiens (common eastern bumble bee), 356 nucleotides. RefSeq lists it as uncharacterized. The record is from RefSeq and is a predicted model, not a curated record. NCBI's taxonomy places the organism in Eukaryota, Metazoa, Arthropoda, Insecta, Hymenoptera, Apidae. The transcript has 3 exons.
CUUUUCUUUUUUUGCAGUGUCAUGCACUUGUUACCUACGUUUAGAAAAUACGAUAAUCGAACAAUGCGAGAACAGAAAGAAGAGGGACAAGUUCGCUCAUUAUUGCCAUUAUUUUCUAGUUGUAUCGAUACUUAGAGCUUAUAAAAAGCGUACGAAUUUUCUAAGCGGAUUGUAACGAAUGAUCAAAGCGUUUAAUCGAUUAGAUCGUAAACUGCUUUAUACGUAUCUCUGUUAGGAUUACGAGGCGCAGGACAUAGACCGUAGGGAAGAACAUGGGUCUCGCGUUUAUGCAUGAACCGAUGUGCGAUGACCAAUGCAAGUAAAAUUCGCGACGGCAGCGAUUCUUUCUUGAUUGU